GCGCCGGGAGUGCUGUCUGCACUCGCGACAGUGGUUAGCAGCUGUUUUCCAGGGCCUUUGGUGCCAGAGGUCUCCAGACGGCACCCGCUAUUCACAUUCCAGUGUGCGAACAACUCAGGCCGACCGUUGGUUGGACAUUAUCCUCCGUAGCACGAACACCACCGCGGAUCCGGGCUACCGUGUUACCUGCAUCACCCAUGCAAGGCAAUGUUCAAUGAGCACUGUGAUGAAGCCGCAGGUCAAACAAAACAAUACUUGAAUUGGUGGUGGAGCACUGGUCAAUCUCCUGGUAUUAGCAGCCCACUGCCACGGAGUCUUGCUUGGAUGCGAUCCUUGCCACCACAUCACAUAAUGUCGUGUACCGCUUGUCUCCCAUCUGUAGCCACUACAUCACGGUCCAUCUCUCACGUGAUGCUCCUAUGCUUCUUGUCUGGACUGGCUGCAAACAGCACAGCUGCAGCAACCUCUGCUUCAGCACCCUCUGCUUCUGAAACCAUCUCUGACGUCACCGCGACAACCAAAGUGGACGUGGGAAACGCUAGUAGUACUGAGGACCUGCCUACCACUGCAAGACCGGACAGCGAGGCACCAACCAGCUCCGCAGCACCACACAGCAACGGGGCUCACACAACACAAGAGGAGAAGGGUUGGUUUGCGAGUUCAGCAAUCAACACCCCAUCGCCCAACUCCAAGAAGCGAGGCAAGCAUGGCCGGCGGACAAAGCCAAGGCGUGUUGCUGACACGCGGCACUCGCAUGAAGUCCGGCUGCGCACUGCUGCCGCCAUAGGUCUAUCGUCUGUGACAUUUCUUAGCAUUAUUCUAGCGAUGUUUUGUGCCUGUGCGAACACUAGUACUAGGCAAGCAUUGUGCCAAAAAUGCAGACGUGGGCCUUUCGCUGCACACCGCCGACCUCGCCCGCCGCAGAUGACACUGACGCCAUCGUCCACUCAGCUACAGACGAGGCUACUGGAUGAAGACCAGCUACCUGCUGAAGACGCGUGUCCAGUGUAGAAGCUGGGAGCUCGCCAGAGAGCAUUACAUUUUGUCUGAUACUACAUGCAGAUAGAGAACGACAGGGAAGAGUGAGAGGAAGACAUCAGAGACGCAAAUUAACUGCCAGUUGACCAGCCUGAGAAAAGACACGCACACGAACAGAGAGACUGGUAAACACACAGAGCGGUCCGAGGAGAGAGAGAGAGAGAGAGAGAGAGAGAGAGAGAGAGAGAGAGAGAGAGAGAGAGAGAGAGAGAGAGAGAGAGAGAGAGAGAGAGAGAGAGUGGAGAGGGUGCAUGUGGAUGAGUGUGUAGGUGCGUGUGUACGUGUGUGCGCGCGGGUGUUCGUGAGUUAGGUUGCAACUGCGAGAUGAGAUAACUCUGCUGCUAUUCUAAACACUGCAUUUUUAAAACAUUGAGGCCAGCUCUUGGCGCCUGAUAA
Sycon ciliatum is the source of this 1434-nucleotide long non-coding RNA. RefSeq lists it as uncharacterized. The record is from RefSeq and is a predicted model, not a curated record. The transcript is spliced from 2 exons. NCBI's taxonomy places the organism in Eukaryota, Metazoa, Porifera, Calcarea, Leucosolenida, Sycettidae.